GAUGAAGAACGUAGCGAAAUGCGAAAAGUAAUGUGAAUUGCAGAAUUCAGUGAAUCAUCGAAUCUUUGAACGCACAUUGCGCCCGGCAGUACUCUGCCGGGCAUGCCUGUUCGAGCGUCAUUUCAACCCUCAAGCCCUGCUUGGUGUUGGGGUCCCACGGCCGCCGUGGGCCCUGAAAGGAAGUGGCGGGCUCGCUACAACUCCGAGCGUAGUAAUUCAUUAUCUCGCUUAGGGCGUUGGGCGGCGCUCCUGCCGUUAAAGAACCAUCUUUAACUCAAGGUUGACCUCGGAUCAGGUAGGAAUACCCGCUGAACUUAAGCAUAUCAAUAAGCGGAGGA
This 338-nucleotide unclassified non-coding RNA is filed under the name soil metagenome. RNAcentral describes it as "partial contains 5.8S ribosomal RNA, internal transcribed spacer 2, and large subunit ribosomal RNA". The stretch from base 1 to 120 matches the Rfam family "5.8S ribosomal RNA", at positions 35 to 154 of the family's 154-position model. The record is from RNAcentral.